Molecule: transfer RNA, 75 nt
Filed under: Serpoleskea confervoides
Lineage: Eukaryota; Viridiplantae; Streptophyta; Bryopsida; Hypnales; Leskeaceae
Description: Platydictya confervoides partial tRNA-Leu
Rfam family: tRNA
About the family: Transfer RNA (tRNA) molecules are approximately 80 nucleotides in length.
Source: RNAcentral
CGAAACGGUAGACGCUACGGACUUGAAAAUCCGUUGGCUUUAUUGACCGUGAGGGUUCAAGUCCCUCUACCCCCA